RNAcentral lists this ribosomal RNA (484 nucleotides) under uncultured bacterium. Its description in RNAcentral is "partial 16S ribosomal RNA". It matches the Rfam family "Bacterial small subunit ribosomal RNA", at positions 30 to 507 of the family's 1533-position model. The record is from RNAcentral.
AUUGAACGCUGGCGGCAGGCCUAACACAUGCAAGUCGAGCGGAUGAAGUGAGCUUGCUCCUGGAUUCAGCGGCGGACGGGUGAGUAAUGCCUAGGAAUCUGCCUGGUAGUGGGGGAUAACGUCCGGAAACGGGCGCUAAUACCGCAUACGUCCUGAGGGAGAUAUUGGUGGAUCUUCGGACCUCACGCUAUCAGAUGAGCCUAGGUCGGAUUAGCUAGUUGGUGGGUUAAUGGCCUACCAAGGCGACGAUCCGUAACUGGUCUGAGAGGAUGAUCAGUCAAACUGGAACUGAGAAACGGUCAAGACUCCUACGGGAGGAAGCAGUGGGGAAUAUUGGAAAAUGGGCGAAAGCCUGAUCAAGACAUGCCGCGUGGGUGAAGAAGGUCUUCGGAUUGUAAAGCACUUUAAGUUGGGAGGAAGGGCAGUAAGUUAAUAACUUGCUGUUUUGACGGUACCAAAAGAAUAAGCACCGGCUAACUUCGUG